Paramisgurnus dabryanus is the source of this 7973-nucleotide non-coding RNA. The record is from RefSeq and is a predicted model, not a curated record. NCBI's taxonomy places the organism in Eukaryota, Metazoa, Chordata, Actinopteri, Cypriniformes, Cobitidae.
AAAGACUAUUUUCAAGUUACGUUCAUAUUAUUAUAAUAGUUGUACAGUGCUCUGUUCGAGUAUUGCGUCUGCUGAGUAGGCGGAGUUUAAUCCUAAGUCUCGCGAGUUCGACAGAAAAUAACGCGAGAUCAGAUACGCAGCAAUGGAGGAGACGGAAGAAAUGCGGUGUGUGUUGUUAUUGUAAAUUCAUGAUUCAAUGUGAAUUAUAGCCAUCCGGUUAUAGUACAACCAUAGAGCAUUCAUAUCGUGUGCAGUUUGGCAUUCUCAGAUGUGAUGGGCGGCCGAUGUUGUGUGAUCGCUCCAGAGAUAUGUGGAUUUGUAUGGUGAAUACCAUCACGUGCGUCAUUGCAGAUUGUAAGUGUUUGUUUUACUUUAUUUAGUUUAAUAAUCAUUGUCUUGACACUCUGUUAGAUACAUUAACAAGAUGACUGUUCAGUUGUAAAGAUUAGUUGCUAUAUUAUUCAUUUAUCACAUGUGCAAUGACUCGCGUGUUCACUCAAGUGAUACGAUAAUGGUGCGGCACUUUAUUGUACAAAUCGUGCUGGAAACUUAUUGAGUUAAUUUGUAUAUUUGCAGAACCACGUUCAUCCACGUUUAUCCAGCUGAGUGUGUAUAUUACACACACCCAUCACGCCUAUGGAACACCGCAGCACACGACAAUACAUUCAUCAUUGUUAAUAUCACCUCACAUUAAGCCUCUCAGGACCAAAUAAGGAUGCAGACUGAGGAUUUAACCACCUGUUUGAGUUUCAAUGUGAUGACAUCGCGUGUGAGGAUUAACAUUUGACCAAAUCUGUACCCUCCUUGCGUUAAGUGGACUUUUUGGAACACUUCAGACUUGCAAAGACUGAGUACACUCAUUUUCACCACCUCAUUGCCUGAUUUGCAAUCACAUAAUUGUAUUUCUUGAAUCAAAGUUUAUUGUUAUACUGAUUGUUUAUUUUGCGUAGGCCUACGCUGUUUUAUUUGAGAAGUAUUCAUGUUUUAUUAACAUUGUGAAUAAGUUGUUCAAUUUAUCAUUUGAACAAUCAAUACAUUCAGUAAAUCUGAUCCCUGACUCUGGUGUCGUUACUCCUCUCCUAGUCCCUGGACAUUAAUUGGGUAAAUAAUCCUCUAAGGUGAUUUAGAUCCGUAAUAGUAAUCAGUGCAUAACACAGUCUUCAAUACAUUUGAUGGUCCUUCGAGCUGGAUACCUAUAACCACUUUAGCAAUGAUGUCCAGGCCUAGGGAGGAGCCUUUAGAGCCAGAGGUUGUACGUCCACGUAGAAUAACUAGACCGCCAUCGUAUCUACGUGAUUAUGAUGUCAGUUAUUCUCAAAACCGUUUAGCGUUUGCAGAGGAGCAGUCUGAAAUGCUAUCUUGUAUGCGUGAAAUGAGGGAGGAAAAUAUGCGAUUGAGACAAGAUGUGAAACGCAUAUCGGAACUGAUUGCUAAUUCUCCUGUGUUAGCUUCCCAGGGUUCAUUGUCUGUGCAGCGACCUUCGAAUGAUGAUGUUGGGUUGUCAUCCACACCAAAGUCUACCAGUAAUCCUAACCAGCCUGAACACACUCCUUUGGUGCCAUCUAGAGAUGAAUCACUCCACACAGGUCAUAACCGUGGUGGCCGAGAUCUCAUUGAAGAGCUGACAGAAAGUUUGAAGAAAGUUGGUCGGUUUAAUGAUAAUCAGUCUGGUUCAGGUAUGUCGACUCCUUCUUAUAAUGACCCUCUUAACAGCAAAAGUGAUUCACCACGAUACGGGAAUGAUGCUAACGUUCCGUUGAGGCAACAUAGUCUGUCUGAUCAUUAUAAUCAUCAUACAGAUAAUUCUCCCUUUGGACAGUCUCGCAUGUCAACUCGUGAUGUUCAUCGAACGGCAAUUGAUCCUUACCAUCGUUGUUCGAGUGAUAGACACUUACCAGACUAUACUCAGAGGGAUCAUUUUGAUCAUUCUCCGUUUGAUUGGAGGCAAGAGUGCAUUCAAGAAAGUAGACCGUUGCCACCUAACCAUUCUUACUAUUCACAGGGACGGUCUGAGCUUCCAUCUGCCUUAUGUCCUUCAUCCAUGCAAUAUCGGGGACCCACUCCUAAAAUCCCAGAUUUCUGUCGGGAUGAUCCCCGGGAGUUUGCGCGUCUUAAGUUGGCAUUAACCAACAUCCUACCUGACGAUGCUUCUGAGUCCUUUAAGUUCCAAAUACUUAUGGACCAUCUUAAGUUGGAAGAUGCUUUGCUUGUCGCUGACUCAUAUAGUCACAGUCGUACGCCCUUCAGCGACACAAUGAGAGCACUCACUGAUAUGUAUGGCCAGCCGCAUCAGUUGGCUUUGCAGAGGAUUGGUAAUCUAAUGGAUGGGCCCAGUAUCAGGAGCGGUGAUGUGAAGUCUUUCAAGGCAUUCGCCCUUCGCGUCCGUGCACUGGUUGGGAUGUUGAACCAGUUAGGUAGCACAGGUUGGACCGAACUGAAAUGUGGAUCACACGUUUCUCGUCUCUUAGCUAAGUUGCCGUACGACCUAAGAGCUAACUUUAAGAGAUUCAUUAACCCACUACAGACACCGAUUCCAACGCUACUCGACUUCGCUGACUGGUUAGAAUACGAAGUACGUGUCCAAGUAGAGGGAACUCAAUAUGGGACCUAUCCUGACCAGGAGAAACACAGCUCUCGUAAAGACAAGCGAACUAGCUUUGUGCCCCGUAAGAUGACUACUGUUCUACAUGGAGGAGAGCAGAAAGUAGCACCAGUAGAGAAUCCAAAGACCACGGCCACAGAUCCAGACAGACCACAGGACAAGCCUAAGAAAUAUUGUCCAUUCUGUGACACAGUUCAGCACUACAUGAACCAGUGCUCUAACUUCAAACUUCUCUCUAAUGAGCAGAUCGAAAGUUGGAUUAGAACAGGCAAUAGGUGUUGGCGCUGCGGUCGAGGCCAUUCGUCAGCUAAAUGUACACUGAAGGCAAAGUGCAAGCGAUGUGACCGAAGGCAUCUUGAUGUCCUUCAUGAUGUCAAUUCCAGCUCAGAAGCAAUGAGAAAAGGCAGUAUCAAGACGUCUCAGAAAGAUGCAAAUUCAAUGGAGCCUGCUUCUCAGACCUUGUACUUAGAUCGACCUGCAAGUAGUAAGCAGGUGUUACUUAAGUUAAGCCGAGUGAUCCUUCAGAAUGGUGAUAAAUCGCUUGAAACUUACGCUGUGCUAGACGACGGAUCUGAGCGAACUAUCUUGUUGUAUGAAGCUGCUCAAUGUCUAGGCCUCCAAGGUGAAGUCGAAAACUUGGCUUUGCGCACGGUAAGACAGGAAGUUCAUACUAUUCAUGGAAGAGCUGUAUCCUUCUCUAUAUCACCUGUAUCAAAUCCUGACAGAUCUUACUCUAUCAAAGGUGCAUUCACAGCAAAAGAGCUUGCUCUGGUUCAACAUACUUACCCCAUUGCUGAUUUGCAAAGUAGAUAUCGUCAUCUCCGUGAUUUACCUUUGAAUGACAUCCACGAAGCACAGCCUUUGCUGCUUAUUGGUUCAGAUUAUCCUCACUUGAUAACCCCUGUCGAGCCCGUGAGACUUGGUCCCCCUGGAGGCCCUGCAGCGGUUCAUACAAAGCUUGGCUGGACUUUACAGGGCCCAUCAAGUUUCCUUAAUCCUUCUUUACAUUCUCAGGAAUGUUUGUUCAUUUCCUGUCUUUCUCCUGAGAAUGAGCUUUUCCGUCAGGUUGAAAAUCUUUGGAAGUUGGACACUCUUCCAUAUCGAUCUGAGAAAGUGGUUAGUCGAUCUCGACAGGAUGCAGAAGCUAUUCACCUUCUAGAGGAGAAAACCAUCAGGAUUGAUGUGGAUGGUGUCAAAAGGUACGCCACACCUCUACUCUGGAAAGAGUCGCCGCCUCCUUUGAACGCACCUAAGGAAGCAGUCAUGGCCCUGUUACGCAGUUCAGAGAGGAAACUAGCUAGAGAUCCUAGUAUGGCUGAGGCUUACGAAUCGGAGAUUCAGAAAUUGCUGGUCGCGGGUUACGUCACCCCAUUGACAUCUGCAGAGUACGAUCUGAGCUACAAGUCGUGGUACAUACCACAUCAUAUGGUCCAGCACAAUGCAAAGAACCGUAUUGUUUUCAAUUGUUCUUUUGAAUACCAGGGUAAAUCUCUGAAUGACCAUCUUUUGCCCGGUCCUACGUUAAGUUCUAGCUUGUUGGGGGUACUCCUCCGCUUUCGGGAACAUCCCGUGGCCAUCUCCAGUGAUGUGAAGGGCAUGUUCCAUCAAGUCCGCCUACUUGAUGAGGAUAAACCAUUCCUUCGCUUUCUGUGGCGGCAUGGGAGGACAUCAGAACCUGCUGUGGUGUAUCAGUGGCAAGUCCUGCCAUUCGGCACUGCGUGUAGCCCUUGUUGUGCUACUUACGCACUUCAGGCUCAUGCAAAGGUGGAUCUUGAGGCUACCGAUGAAGUACGUCAAACUGUGGAGCGCAACUUCUAUGUUGACAAUUGUCUCAAGAGUGUACCAACUGAAGCUCAAGCUGUACAGCUGGUAAACCGAUUGCAGUGUCAUCUUAAGGAGGGUGGAUUUGAACUGAGGCAAUGGGCCAGUAACAUCCCUGAGGUUAUUUGCCACCUUCCUGCUGAGUUAAAGUCAAGUAGUAGUGAUAUCUGGCUCCGUCAAGAAAUGACCAACCCUCAAGAGAAUGCCCUUGGAUUGAUAUGGCAGUGCAGAUCCGACACAUUGGUAUACAAACCUUACCAAAAGGAAAAGGGUGAAACUACCAUGCGGAACAUCUAUCGCACCCUAGCCAAGCUUUAUGACCCUCUUGGGUAUCUCAUUCCGUAUACCACAAGAGCCAAGAGUGUCGUGCAGUUGUUGUGGGACAAACGACGUGAAUGGGAUGACCCUAACCUACCGAUGGGUCUACUAGACAUUUGGCAUCAGUGGGAGAGCGAGCUACCACAUUUGCCGGAAAUUCACAUACCAAGAUGUUACAGUGCCAGCCUUCAGCAUCCAGUUAAGAGCCGCAGUGUCCAUGUAUUUUGUGAUGCUUCUGAAAAAGCGUAUGGCUCUGUGGCAUACUUGUGCUCUGAAGACGAACACGACAACAUGCAGGUUUCCUUCCUGGCUGCAAGGUCACGAGUCGCUCCAAGGAAACAGAUCUCCAUCGCUCGUUUGGAGCUUUGCGCUGCAUUGACCGGGGCACAGCUGGGAGAUGUCUUAAAGAAAGAGCUGACUCUAGAUAUCCACCAAUUUGUAUACUGGUCUGAUUCGACUACGGUUCUUACCUGGCUCCAGUCUGAUUCGUGCAGAUACAGAGUAUUCGUGGGAGUUAGAGUCACAGAAAUUCAGGAGUUGUCCGACCCGGGAGCUUGGCGCUAUGUUGAUUCAGCAUCCAAUCCUGCGGAUGAUAUCACACGUGGGUUGUCUCUGGUUCAGCUAGCCGAAGAAACACGAUGGAAACGAGGUCCAGAUUUUUUGACAAAGCCUAGUAGCUGUUGGCCAAAGGUACCAGAAGGUCAGGUCCCUGAAGAAAAUCAGGAACUCAAGAAAUCUGUGUUUUGUGGAUCAUUGAAGGAGGCUGAAUCGCAAUCUGAGCCUGACGCCCAGGAGUUCAGUAGCUAUUCUGAAUUUUUGGAGGCUACAGCUCGAUCCCUUCACGGGGCGGCUGUUUCACUGAGUGCAGAUGAGUUUCAGAAAGCAGAGUUAUCUAUCCUGAGACAAUGCCAAAUGCACGAUUUCCCAGAGGAAUUUUCUCUGCUCAAAGAUGGAAAGGCCAUUCCUGCACAUAGCCGACUGAUUAAGCUUGCUCCUGAAUAUGACAAAAGAGUUGGAUUUGAUUAGAGUAGGAGGACGACUCCGUAGGUGUCAUGGGUUGAGUGAAGAAAUCCUACACCCUAUAGUUCUGUCUCCAAACCAUCCUGUAGUGAAGCUCCUAAUCAAGCACUAUGAUGCACAACUGCACCACCCAGGAGCUGAACGAGUAUUCGCUGAGUUACGGCGCAAGUUUUGGAUUUUGCGAGGAAGAGAGGCGAUCAAAAGGCAUCAACACAGUUGUCUUGAUUGUAAAAAGUGGAGAGGCAAGCCGAUGGUUCCGAGAAUGGCAGACCUACCUUCGUCCAGUUUGAGAUUAUUCAAACCCCCCUUUUAUUCAACAGGGAUGGACUGUUUUGGGCCAUUGAUGGUAAAGGUAGGUCGUCGCACGGAGAAGAGAUGGGGAAUUGUAUACAAAUGCCUCACGACUCGAGCUGUACAUCUUGAUCUGCUGUAUCACAUGGAUGGCGAUUCAUUCUUGAUGUCUCUCAGGCGUUUUGUUGCUCGACGGGGAAAGCCAUACGAGCUCCUCUCCGAUCAGGGAACCAAUUUCAAGGGUGGAGCUAAGGAGCUAGAGCAAACCUUUCACCAGAUCCAGCCAAGCCUCAGAGAUCAGCUAGCAAAGGAGCAAAUCAGAUUCCAGUUCAAUCCUCCCAGUGCACCUCAUUUUGGUGGAUCUUGGGAAAGAGAGGUGAGGUCGGUGAAGACGGCCUUAAGAACCACCUUAGGUGCUCAGACCGUUACUGAGGAGGUAUUGAGAACAGUCUUAGUUGAGGUCGAAAAUAUUCUCAAUUCCAGACCUCUGGGUUAUGUCUCUAGCGAUGUAGCCGAUCCCGACCCAGUAACGCCAAAUUCCCUGCUGAUGGGGCGGCCUGACUCCUCUCUGCCUCAGGUUGUUUAUUCAGAUUCUGAAUUACUCAGCAAGAAAAGGUGGAGACAUAGUCAAGUUCUUAGUGACCAUUUUUGGAAGCAUUUCGUCCAUGACUUCUUGCCCACUCUGCAAUCACGGCAGAAAUGGCACCGUGAGAGACAGAACAUUGCAGUUGGUACUGUAGUACUCAUUGUUGAUGAACAGCUUCCGAGAGCACUAUGGAAAGUUGGCACUGUUUCUUCUGUCAUUCCCAGCUCAGAUGGUAGAGUCAGAACGGCGGUUGUCAAGGUUAAAGAUCAAACAUACACCAGACCAGUAGUUAAGCUGAUUGAGUUGCCAGCUUUACCCCCAGACACAGACAGUUCAUCAUAGACCUUACUAAGGGCAAAUUUGCAUACCAAAUUUGGGGGCGGCUGUGCAAAAGACUAUUUUCAAGUUACGUUCAUAUUAUUAUAAUAGUUGUACAGUGCUCUGUUCGAGUAUUGCGUCUGCUGAGUAGGCGGAGUUUAAUCCUAAGUCUCGCGAGUUCGACAGAAAAUAACGCGAGAUCAGAUACGCAGCAAUGGAGGAGACGGAAGAAAUGCGGUGUGUGUUGUUAUUGUAAAUUCAUGAUUCAAUGUGAAUUAUAGCCAUCCGGUUAUAGUACAACCAUAGAGCAUUCAUAUCGUGUGCAGUUUGGCAUUCUCAGAUGUGAUGGGCGGCCGAUGUUGUGUGAUCGCUCCAGAGAUAUGUGGAUUUGUAUGGUGAAUACCAUCACGUGCGUCAUUGCAGAUUAACCACGUUCAUCCACGUUUAUCCAGCUGAGUGUGUAUAUUACACACACCCAUCACGCCUAUGGAACACCGCAGCACACGACAAUACAUUCAUCAUUGUUAAUAUCACCUCACAUUAAGCCUCUCAGGACCAAAUAAGGAUGCAGACUGAGGAUUUAACCACCUGUUUGAGUUUCAAUGUGAUGACAUCGCGUGUGAGGAUUAACAUUUGACCAAAUCUGUACCCUCCUUGCGUUAAGUGGACUUUUUGGAACACUUCAGACUUGCAAAGACUGAGUACACUCAUUUUCACCACCUCAUUGCCUGAUUUGCAAUCACAUAAUUGUAUUUCUUGAAUCAAAGUUUAUUGUUAUACUGAUUGUUUAUUUUGCGUAGGCCUACGCUGUUUUAUUUGAGAAGUAUUCAUGUUUUAUUAACAUUGUGAAUAAGUUGUUCAAUUUAUCAUUUGAACAAUCAAUACAUUCAGUAAAUCUGAUCCCUGACUCUGGUGUCGUUACUCCUCUCCUAGUCCCUGGACAUUAAUUGGGUAAAUAAUCCUCUAAGGUGAUUUAGAUCCGUAAUAGUAAUCAGUGCAUAACACAGUCUUCAAUAC